This 432-nucleotide ribosomal RNA is filed under the name uncultured bacterium. Its description in RNAcentral is "partial 16S ribosomal RNA". It matches the Rfam family "Bacterial small subunit ribosomal RNA", at positions 29 to 507 of the family's 1533-position model. The record is from RNAcentral.
ACGAACGCUGGCGGCAUGCCUAACACCUGCCAGUCGCACGAGACCUUCGGGUCUAGUGGCGCCCGGGUGCGUAACGCGUGGGAACCUGCCCUUAGGUUCGGAAUAACUCCCCGAAAGGGGUGCUAAUACCGGAUAAUGUCUUCGGACCAAAGAUUUAUCGCCUUUGGAUGGGCCCGCGUUGGAUUAGCUAGUUGGUAGGGUAAAAGCCUACCAAGGCGACGAUCCAUAGCUGGUCUGAGAGGAUGAUCAGCCACACUGGGACUGAGACACGGCCCAGACUCCUACGGGAGGCAGCAGUGGGGAAUAUUGGACAAUGGGCGAAAGCCUUAUCCAGCAAUGCCGCGUGAGUGAUGAAGGCCUUAGGGUUGUAAAGCUCUUUUACCCGGGAUGAUAAUGACAGUACCGGGAGAAUAAGCGCCGGCUAACUCCGUG